RNAcentral lists this ribosomal RNA (1504 nucleotides) under Saccharum spontaneum (wild sugarcane). Its description in RNAcentral is "bacterial SSU rRNA". It matches the Rfam family "Bacterial small subunit ribosomal RNA". Lineage: Eukaryota; Viridiplantae; Streptophyta; Magnoliopsida; Poales; Poaceae. The record is from RNAcentral.
AGAGGUCGAUCCUGGCUCAGGAUUGAACGCUGGCGCAUGCCUUAACCACAUGCAAGUCGAACGGGAAGUUGGUGUUUCCAGUGGCGAACGGGGAGUAACGCGUAAGAGAACCUGCCCUGGGAGGGAACAACCACGGAAACGGUUGCUAAUACCACGUAGGCUGCGGAGCAAAGAAAAGGAGAAAAUCCGCCCCAAAGGAGGGGCUCGGUCUGAUUAAGCUAGUUGGUGAGGCAUAGCUACAAGGCGGAUGAUCAGUAGCUGGUCCGAGAGGAAUGAUCAAGCCACACUGGGACUGAGACACGGCCCAGACUCCUACGGGAGGCAGCAGUGUGGAAUUUUCCGCAAUGGGCGAAAGCAUGACGAGCAAUGCCGCGUGGAAGGUGGAAGGCCUACGGGUCGUUCAAACUUUUGUUCUCGGGAAGAAACAUGACGGUAUCUGAGGAAAUAAGCAUCGGCUAACUCUGUGCCAGCAGCCGCGGUAGACAGAGGAAGAGAUGCAAGCGGUUAUCCGGAAAAUAUGGGGCGUAAAGCGCUGUAGGUGGUUUUCAAGUCCGCCGUCAAUCCCAGGGCGCAACCUGGGCAGGCGGUGGAAAAUACCAAGCUGGAGUCGGUAGGGGGCCAGAGGGAAUUUUCCGGGUGGAGCGAGUGAAAUGACAUUGGGAUCGGAAAAGAACACCAACGGCCGAAAGACACUCUGCUGGGCCGACACUGACACCUGAGAACGAAAGCUAGGGGAGCAAAAUGGAUUAGAGACCCCCAGUAGUCCUAGCCGUAAACGAUGGAUACUAGGUGUGUGCGACUCGACCGUGCAGUGCGUGUGGAGCUAAGCGUAAGUAUCCCGCCUGGAGGGUACGUCGCAAGAAUGAAACUCAAAGGAAUUGACGGGGGCCCCGCCCAAUCGGUGGAGCAUGUGGUGUAAUUGAGCAAGCAAGAAACCUUACCCAGGGUUGACAUGCCGCGAAUCCUCUUUGAAAGAGAGGGGUUUGCCCGCGGGAACGCGGACAAAGGUGGUGCAUGGCUGUCGUCAGCUCGUGCCGGCGUCGUAAGAUGUUGGGUAAGUCUCGCAACGAGCGCAACCCUCGUGUUUCGUUGCCACUAUGAGUUUGGACCCUGACAAGACCGCCGGUGGUUAAGCCGGAGGGGAAGGAGAGGAUGAGGCCAAGUCAUCAUGCCCUUAUGCCCUGGGAGACACACGUGCUAAAAUGGGCGGGAACAAAGGGUUCGUCGCGAUCCGCGAGGGUGAGCUAACUCCAAAAAACCGUCCUCAGUCGGAUUGCAGGCCGCAACUUCGCCUGCAUGAAGCAGGAAUCGCUAGUAAGUAAGGCCGGUCAGCCAUACGCGGGUGAUCCGUCCCGGGCCUUGACACACCGCCUCACACUAUAGGAGCUGGCCAGGUUUUGAAGUCAUUACCCUUAACCGUAAGGAGGGGGAUGCCUAAGGCUAGGCUUGCGAAGGAGUGAAGUCGUAAAUUUCAAGUGGUUAGCCGUACUGGAAGGUGCGGCUG